CUGUCUGAAUAUGGGGGGACCAUCCUCCAAGGCUAAAUACUCCUGACUGACCGAUAGUGAACCAGUACCGUGAGGGAAAGGCGAAAAGAACCCCGGCGAGGGGAGUGAAAAAGAACCUGAAACCGUGUACGUACAAGCAGUGGGAGCCCCACCACCAAAGCAUUCUCUGGUGUUGAAGGCCCUGCAAAGCAGCAUCGCGGUGGCGGAGCGUCGUUUGCGACGCCCAACACACAAAACAAGCGGUGAGUGCUUUGGGGUGGGGUGACUGCGUACCUUUUGUAUAAUGGGUCAGCGACUUAUAUUCUGUAGCAAGGUUAACCGUAUAGGGGAGCCGUAGGGAAACCGAGUCUUAACCGGGCGUUAAGUUGCAGGGUAUAGACCCGAAACCCGGUGAUCUAGCCAUGGGCAGGUUGAAGGUUGGGUAACACUAACUGGAGGACCGAACCGACUAAUGUUGAAAAAUUAGCGGAUGACUUGUGGCUGGGGGUGAAAGGCCAAUCAAACCGGGAGAUAGCUGGUUCUCCCCGAAAGCUAUUUAGGUAGCGCCUCGUGAAUUCAUCUUCGGGGGUAGAGCACUGUUUCGGCUAGGGGGUCAUCCCGACUUACCAACCCGAUGCAAACUGCGAAUACCGGAGAAUGUUAUCACGGGAGACACACGGCGGGUGCUAACGUCCGUCGUGAAGAGGGAAACAACCCAGACCGCCAGCUAAGGUCCCAAAGUCAUGGUUAAGUGGGAAACGAUGUGGGAAGGCCCAGACAGCCAGGAUGUUGGCUUAGAAGCAGCCAUCAUUUAAAGAAAGCGUAAUAGCUCACUGGUCGAGUCGGCCUGCGCGGAAGAUGUAACGGGGCUAAACCAUGCACCGAAGCUGCGGCAGCGACACUGUGUGUUGUUGGGUAGGGGAGCGUUCUGUAAGCCUGCGAAGGUGGCCUGUGAGGGUUGCUGGAGGUAUCAGAAGUGCGAAUGCUGACAUAAGUAACGAUAAAGCGGGUGAAAAGCCCGCUCGCCGGAAGACCAAGGGUUCCUGUCCAACGUUAAUCGGGGCAGGGUGAGUCGACCCCUAAGGCGAGGCCGAAAGGCGUAGUCGAUGGGAAACAGGUUAAUAUUCCUGUACUUGGUGUUACUGCGAAGGGGGGACGGAGAAGGCUAUGUUGGCCGGGCGACGGUUGUCCCGGUUUAAGCGUGUAGGUGUGUGUUCCAGGUAAAUCCGGUUCACUUUAACACUGAGGCGUGAUGACGAGGCACUACGGUGCUGAAGCAACAAAUGCCCUGCUUCCAGGAAAAGCCUCUAAGCAUCAGGUAACAUCAAAUCGUACCCCAAACCGACACAGGUGGUCAGGUAGAGAAUACCAAGGCGCUUGAGAGAACUCGGGUGAAGGAACUAGGCAAAAUGGUGCCGUAACUUCGGGAGAAGGCACGCUGACA
Molecule: ribosomal RNA, 1423 nt
Filed under: Salmonella enterica subsp. enterica serovar Anatum
Lineage: Bacteria; Pseudomonadati; Pseudomonadota; Gammaproteobacteria; Enterobacterales; Enterobacteriaceae
Description: partial 23S ribosomal RNA
Rfam family: Bacterial large subunit ribosomal RNA
Source: RNAcentral